CGCAUCUGUGCAUGCAGCAUAUCAAUAAGCGGAGGAAAAGAAACUAACAAGGAUUCCCCUAGUACGGCGAGUGAAGCGGGAAGAGCUCAAAUUUGAAAUCUUAAAGGGUUUCCCUUUACGAAUUGUAGUUUAAAGAAGUGUUUUCUGUUGAGGUUUUGGUAAAAGUUCUUUGGAAUAGGACAUCAUAGAGGGUGAGAAUCCCGUAUUUGACCUUUACUUUCAACUUUGUGAUACACUUUCAAAGAGUCGGAUUGUUUGGGAAUGCAGUCCAAAAUGGGUGGUAAAUUUCAUCUAAAGCUAAAUAUUGGCGAGAGACCGAUAGCGAACAAGUACCGUGAGGGAAAGAUGAAAAGAACUUUGAAAAGAGAGUUAAACAGUACGUGAAAUUGUCAAAAGGGAAGCGUUUGACACCAGUGUUGUUUUUCUGAAAAUCAAUUAAAGAACUGUUUAUGCUAAGUUGUUUAGACUUUAUCAGCUAACUGUUUAGUUUUGAGCUUUUCUUUAAUGCACUUUUCAGUUAACAAGUCAACAUCAAUUUCUUUUGCUGUAAAAAAGCUUGAGGAAGGUGGCUUGAGAUUCGUCUUAAGUGUUUAUAGCCUCUUGCCUAUGCAGUCGGAGAGAUUGAGGUCUGCAGCGUAGAUCCUUCGGGGCUAAAUGCAUUUGUGCUAAGUUAUAGCAUUUUAUAGACAACUUGUUGACUAUGAUUUGUCUUGUAGCUUACUCGCUUAUGUUAUUUUACCUACGCUUAGGAUGUUGAACGCGCACAGAGUCUC
Molecule: ribosomal RNA, 773 nt
Filed under: uncultured Neocallimastigales
Lineage: Eukaryota; Fungi; Neocallimastigomycota; Neocallimastigomycetes; Neocallimastigales
Description: partial large subunit ribosomal RNA
Rfam family: Eukaryotic large subunit ribosomal RNA
Source: RNAcentral